Molecule: small RNA, 575 nt
Filed under: Arabidopsis thaliana (thale cress)
Lineage: Eukaryota; Viridiplantae; Streptophyta; Magnoliopsida; Brassicales; Brassicaceae
Description: ATSL203770
Source: RNAcentral
AAAUUAUCAAAAUAAUAUGUAUGAAAUUGAAUAUAAAUAUUAUAACUCAGUCGAAAGUUUUCUUUAAUCUACUUUUUGACCCGUUAUAAUAUUUGUUCAUGUAUUGAACAGUUUAUAUUCGUUUUUAAUAAUUCAAAUCAUGGCAUAUGCGAAACAAUUAUAAUUUGUUUUAUAUACCGAUGAUAUGAUGAUAUUAUUUGUUUCGCAAAAAUAGAAUCCCAUAAAGAUCUACAUAUACAUUUUUGCAGCCAUUUUGUGAAAUAAAUCCUAGAGUUGGAACUUAUUUAUAAUGGCUGCCACAUCUUUUUAAUUAUUAAUUUUCUUUUGGCAAUAAAUUGAUUAACAAACAAAAAAUAUUCCAAAUAUAUUUCAAUCCCAUAUAUCACGCAGAUUUCUCUAAAAUUUGAACUAGAUUUCGGAAACUAUUUAAGACAAAAAAUAUUUGACAAACCAAAAUACAAUUGCAAUCCAUUAAAAUGAGCAAAACGCACCUAAAUACAUUUCUUAUCAGUUCACAAAUCUUCUUUCUCCAAUAUUUGAAUUAGAUUUCGACAACUAUUUAAAACAAAAAUUUA